ACCCUGGUAGCUCAGUGGUAGAGCACUUGACGCGUAAUCAAGGGAGCCGUGGUUCGAUUCCCGGCUGGGUA
RNAcentral lists this transfer RNA (71 nucleotides) under Folsomia candida. It matches the Rfam family "tRNA". From Rfam's summary of the family: Transfer RNA (tRNA) molecules are approximately 80 nucleotides in length. Their secondary structure includes four short double-helical elements and three loops (D, anti-codon, and T loops). Further hydrogen bonds mediate the characteristic L-shaped molecular structure. tRNAs have two regions of fundamental functional importance: the anti-codon, which is responsible for specific mRNA codon recognition, and the 3' end, to which the tRNAs corresponding amino acid is attached (by aminoacyl-tRNA synthetases). tRNAs cope with the degeneracy of the genetic code in two manners: having more than one tRNA (with a specific anti-codon) for a particular amino acid; and 'wobble' base-pairing, i.e. permitting non-standard base-pairing at the 3rd anti-codon position. Lineage: Eukaryota; Metazoa; Arthropoda; Collembola; Entomobryomorpha; Isotomidae. The record is from Rfam by way of RNAcentral.